Molecule: long non-coding RNA, 292 nt
Organism: Orcinus orca (killer whale)
Lineage: Eukaryota; Metazoa; Chordata; Mammalia; Artiodactyla; Delphinidae
Exons: 3
Source: RefSeq, a predicted model, not a curated record
AAAAAAGUGCCCCCAGUUCUUCAACUAUAAGAUAAGAUGUGUUUUGCAAACAUAAAGCAUAUUAAAUCUUUAUUUUGUAGGUCGAUAUUAAGAAAGGUCCUGAUGUAGCUGGUGCAUAAAUGUAAAGACUCAUUUGCUUCCUGGAAAGCAGAAGAAAGGUAAGUAAGUACUUAUCAGAAAGUCGUGGAAAAAUAAAACAGGUAAUAUUCAAAUUCUAAAUACUGAGGAUGUCAUGUUUUCUAGUAAUUAGCCCAAUUUCUCAAGCUGCAGAGAAAAAUUCUCUGAUGAACUU